RNAcentral lists this ribosomal RNA (809 nucleotides) under uncultured Eubacteriales bacterium. Its description in RNAcentral is "bacterial SSU rRNA". It matches the Rfam family "Bacterial small subunit ribosomal RNA", at positions 51 to 873 of the family's 1533-position model. Lineage: Bacteria; Bacillati; Bacillota; Clostridia; Eubacteriales. The record is from RNAcentral.
ACACAUGCAAGUCGAACGGGGCAGAGAGCUUCGGUUUUCUGCUUAGUGGCGAACGGGUGAGUAACGCGUGAGGAACCUACCUUUCAGUGGGGGACAACAGUUGGAAACGACUGCUAAUACCGCAUGACACUUUUAGGAGACAUCUCCUUUAAGUCAAAGCUUUAUGUGCUGAAAGAUGGCCUCGCGUCUGAUUAGCUAGUUGGUGGGGUAACGGCCCACCAAGGCGACGAUCAGUAGCCGGUCUGAGAGGAUGAACGGCCACAUUGGGACUGAGAUACGGCCCAGACUCCUACGGGAGGCAGCAGUGGGGAAUAUUGGGCAAUGGGGGAAACCCUGACCCAGCAACGCCGCGUGAGGGAAGAAGGCCUUCGGGUUGUAAACCUCUUUUACCAGGGACGAAGGACGUGACGGUACCUGGAGAAAAAGCAACGGCUAACUACGUGCCAGCAGCCGCGGUAAUACGUAGGUUGCAAGCGUUGUCCGGAUUUACUGGGUGUAAAGGGCGUGUAGGCGGAGAUGCAAGUUGGGAGUGAAAUCCCGGGGCUCAACCCCGGAACUGCUUUCAAAACUGUAUCCCUUGAGUAUCGGAGAGGCAAGCGGAAUUCCUAGUGUAGCGGUGAAAUGCGUAGAUAUUAGGAGGAACACCAGUGGCGAAGGCGGCUUGCUGGACGACAACUGACGCUGAGGCGCGAAAGCGUGGGGAGCAAACAGGAUUAGAUACCCUGGUAGUCCACGCUGUAAACGAUGAAUACUAGGUGUGGGAGGACUGACCCCUUCCGUGCCGCAGUUAACACAAUAAGUAUUCCACC